Ixodes scapularis (black-legged tick) is the source of this 484-nucleotide long non-coding RNA. RefSeq lists it as uncharacterized. The record is from RefSeq and is a predicted model, not a curated record. Lineage: Eukaryota; Metazoa; Arthropoda; Arachnida; Ixodida; Ixodidae. The transcript is spliced from 2 exons.
GACAUCACGCAAUGGUGGUUUCGGUGGUUUCCAUUGCGAAUUUUGACAAAAUCUUGCUAAUUUUCGAUUCCUCCCGCCUUGUAGUCCGCCCCAAACAUUUAUCGACUGGCACUAGGAAAAUGUCUGCUCUGAGAUCUCUCGUUGGCACAGCUACUCGGUGUUUCACCAGCAUGUAUGCCGGAGUCGCAGCGCAGCCGUGCCAACUGCUUCAGCGGUUUCUGCCACUGGAAUCUCGGCAGGUGCGCGGGCUGAUGCGACACUUCUUCCCACGGCCAAGCGAGCACAGGCGGAUCCACAGGCACGGCUUGAAGAAGCGGCUGUCCACGCCAGGGGGAAAGAGGGUGCUAUUCCGCCGGAUCCUCAAGGGCCGACACGUCUUGGCACACUAGCGCAUCUUUCUAGUCCAAUUAAAUAGGUCAUCUCAACCACAACUGUCUGCUCUUUUUUUUUUUCUUGCUCCCAAUAUAAAAAUUUACAUUGUUAA